GGGACACGUGGUAUCCUGUCUGAAUAUGGGGGGACCAUCCUCCAAGGCUAAAUACUCCUGACUGACCGAUAGUGAACCAGUACCGUGAGGGAAAGGCGAAAAGAACCCCGGCGAGGGGAGUGAAAAAGAACCUGAAACCGUGUACGUACAAGCAGUGGGAGCCUCUUAAUGGGGUGACUGCGUACCUUUUGUAUAAUGGGUCAGCGACUUAUAUUCUGUAGCAAGGUUAACCGAAUAGGGGAGCCGAAGGGAAACCGAGUCUUAACUGGGCGUUAAGUUGCAGGGUAUAGACCCGAAACCCGGUGAUCUAGCCAUGGGCAGGUUGAAGGUUGGGUAACACUAACUGGAGGACCGAACCGACUAAUGUUGAAAAAUUAGCGGAUGACUUGUGGCUGGGGGUGAAAGGCCAAUCAAACCGGGAGAUAGCUGGUUCUCCCCGAAAGCUAUUUAGGUAGCGCCUCGUGAAUUCAUCUCCGGGGGUAGAGCACUGUUUCGGCAAGGGGGUCAUCCCGACUUACCAACCCGAUGCAAACUGCGAAUACCGGAGAAUGUUAUCACGGGAGACACACGGCGGGUGCUAACGUCCGUCGUGAAGAGGGAAACAACCCAGACCGCCAGCUAAGGUCCCAAAGUCAUGGUUAAGUGGGAAACGAUGUGGGAAGGCCCAGACAGCCAGGAUGUUGGCUUAGAAGCAGCCAUCAUUUAAAGAAAGCGUAAUAGCUCACUGGUCGAGUCGGCCUGCGCGGAAGAUGUAACGGGGCUAAACCAUGCACCGAAGCUGCGGCAGCGACACUAUGUGUUGUUGGGUAGGGGAGCGUUCUGUAAGCCUGUGAAGGUAGCCUGUGAGGGUUGCUGGAGGUAUCAGAAGUGCGAAUGCUGACAUAAGUAACGAUAAAGCGGGUGAAAAGCCCGCUCGCCGGAAGACCAAGGGUUCCUGUCCAACGUUAAUCGGGGCAGGGUGAGUCGACCCCUAAGGCGAGGCCGAAAGGCGUAGUCGAUGGGAAACAGGUUAAUAUUCCUGUACUUGGUGUUACUGCGAAGGGGGGACGGAGAAGGCUAUGUUGGCCGGGCGACGGUUGUCCCGGUUUAAGCGUGUAGGCUGGUUUUCCAGGCAAAUCCGGAAAACCAAGGCUGAGGCGUGAUGACGAGGCACUACGGUGCUGAAGCGACAAAUGCCCUGCUUCCAGGAAAAGCCUCUAAGCAUCAGGUAACAUCAAAUCGUACCCCAAACCGACACAGGUGGUCAGGUAGAGAAUACCAAGGCGCUUGAGAGAACUCGGGUGAAGGAACUAGGCAAAAUGGUGCCGUAACUUCGGGAGAAGGCACGCUGAUAUGUAGGUGAAGCGACUUGCUCGUGGAGCUGAAAUCAGUCGAAGAUACCAGCUGGCUGCAACUGUUUAUUAAAAACACAGCACUGUGCAAACACGAAAGUGGACGUAUACGGUGUGACGCCUGCCCGGUGCCGGAAGGUUAAUUGAUGGGGUUAGCGGUAACGCGAAGCUCUUGAUCGAAGCCCCGGUAAACGGCGGCCGUAACUAUAACGGUCCUAAGGUAGCGAAAUUCCUUGUCGGGUAAGUUCCGACCUGCACGAAUGGCGUAAUGAUGGCCAGGCUGUCUCCACCCGAGACUCAGUGAAAUUGAACUCGCUGUGAAGAUGCAGUGUACCCGCGGCAAGACGGAAAGACCCCGUGAACCUUUACUAUAGCUUGACACUGAACAUUGAGCCUUGAUGUGUAGGAUAGGUGGGAGGCUUUGAAGUGUGGACGCCAGUCUGCAUGGAGCCGACCUUGAAAUACCACCCUUUAAUGUUUGAUGUUCUAACGUUGGCCCGUAAUCCGGGUUGCGGACAGUGUCUGGUGGGUAGUUUGACUGGGGCGGUCUCCUCCUAAAGAGUAACGGAGGAGCACGAAGGUUGGCUAAUCCUGGUCGGACAUCAGGAGGUUAGUGCAAUGGCAUAAGCCAGCUUGACUGCGAGCGUGACGGCGCGAGCAGGUGCGAAAGCAGGUCAUAGUGAUCCGGUGGUUCUGAAUGGAAGGGCCAUCGCUCAACGGAUAAAAGGUACUCCGGGGAUAACAGGCUGAUACCGCCCAAGAGUUCAUAUCGACGGCGGUGUUUGGCACCUCGAUGUCGGCUCAUCACAUCCUGGGGCUGAAGUAGGUCCCAAGGGUAUGGCUGUUCGCCAUUUAAAGUGGUACGCGAGCUGGGUUUAGAACGUCGUGAGACAGUUCGGUCCCUAUCUGCCGUGGGCGCUGGAGAACUGAGGGGGGCUGCUCCUAGUACGAGAGGACCGGAGUGGACGCAUCACUGGUGUUCGGGUUGUCAUGCCAAUGGCACUGCCCGGUAGCUAAAUGCGGAAGAGAUAAGUGCUGAAAGCAUCUAAGCACGAAACUUGCCCCGAGAUGAGUUCUCCCUGACUCCUUGAGAGUCCUGAAGGAACGUUGAAGACGACGACGUUGAUAGGCCGGGUGUGUAAGCGCAGCGAUGCGUUGAGCUAACCGGUACUAAUGAACCGUGAGGCUUAACCUUACAACGCCGAAG
RNAcentral lists this ribosomal RNA (2538 nucleotides) under Escherichia coli. Its description in RNAcentral is "partial 23S ribosomal RNA". It matches the Rfam family "Bacterial large subunit ribosomal RNA", at positions 419 to 2925 of the family's 2925-position model. The record is from RNAcentral. Lineage: Bacteria; Pseudomonadati; Pseudomonadota; Gammaproteobacteria; Enterobacterales; Enterobacteriaceae.